RNAcentral lists this unclassified non-coding RNA (4380 nucleotides) under Rhagoletis pomonella (apple maggot). RNAcentral describes it as "sodium-dependent phosphate transporter 1-A-like, transcript variant X4". The record is from RNAcentral. Lineage: Eukaryota; Metazoa; Arthropoda; Insecta; Diptera; Tephritidae.
GAUGAGUACAGAAUACACAAAACACAUGCGUUCGCUCGAUAAUCGCGCAGUCAGUCAAUUCAGUCCAGUUUCGUUCUCACUGGCAGUAUUUUCCAUUUAUCGUUGCAGUGGUCGGAAAAAUUGAUUUCAAAAUAUUUGCCAUACAAGUGAGUACAACAAAACAUGUUACUAUUCUCUCUGACGGAUCAAAAAUUAUGCUGUCCUAAACGCCAGAUAACAAACUCAAGCAUUGCAAAAACAGCUGCAACAACAAAACCAACAACUAGCUCACUCUUCGUCAGCUUAUAACAAGAAGUUUUCGUUUUCGUGCAAUUUUAAGAAAAUCAACGGCAGCAGCAACAACAACAGCAGUAGUAGUCGCAGCGACAACCAAAAAAAUCGCUAAACUUUCUUAAAAUCCUCGAAAAACAUAAAAAAAUAUAACAAGGAGACUAGCAGCCAUAAGAACAACUGCUAAAAGCCAUAAAAACAAAUUAAAAAGGCGCCAUUUCUCAGCUACACAAAUCGUUUAAAGCACCAACACGCUUCUAAGAAAAUAACGAAACCAAAAAUUAUAAAGAAUUUAAAUUUAUAAAUAAGCUUUUUCACACACACACCGGAAGAUUAUUAUUAAAUUGUAGUUGCUUUAAGUUUUUUUUUCAUUUUCGCAGUCAUCACUCCAGAGCUUAGUUCGUGCGGCAUUGCUCGAUUUUAGGCGUAGUUAGUUUAGCUGAAACUAAACUAGCUGCCAAGUGAAGAAGUACUGUAACCAAGAGAAAAGAAAAAAAAAAAAGUUGAACUUUCAGCUUGAAAGCUAUCGCGAACGCCGCUUUGAAUUUCUUCUAAAUUUCAUAUUUUCGUAAUGAAAAUGGCAAACAUGAAAUUUAAGCGCAAAUAUGGCGGUUUAAAUAUUUGAAAAAUACUAAUUGUAUAUUUUUCGAAUAUUUUAUUUCGUAGCAUUUUAUAAGUUUAUAAAUAAUACUACUAAAAAUUCAGUCCCUUGUCUAACUAAAUUGUCUGUGUCUGUCUGUUUGUAUCCUCCCUCCGUGUAAAUCGCGCCUCCCUAAAAUUAGUAAUAUAACAUACAAAAUACAUACAUACUCAUGCUAUACACACGUACUUAUACAUUUGAAAUAAAAAUUUAAUUACCGUUAAGUGUUACAGCAUUACUAAGUGAUUUUCAUAAAUUUAUACAUAAAAAGAAUUUGUAAUUCAACAGCAAGAAAUUUAAUUUAUUGCAGCAUUUAAUUCUAGCAGACACUUAAAGGCAUUAGCAAUUUUUUUUAGAAAUUUUGUAUACAUAUUUCCAAUUUUUUCUCAAACUAGUAGAAGCAUACUCUUGCGUAGGUUUCUUUAAAAUUUUAAGCAUAAACAAGUAGUUUCUUUUCCAAAUUUGUUUUUUUUUAUUAAUUUUAAUACUGCUGAUUAAAAAAUAUUUAAAUUAAUCACCCAAAAAAUAAUUAUAACUCGAAAGUAAAUCAAUUGCAUAAAACGUACUUAAAAAACUUGCAACAUGGAUGCAUUAUCGCCCGAUUUGCUAUGGAUGGUCAUACUCGGCUUUCUGAUUGCAUUCGUAUUGGCUUUUGGUAUUGGCGCGAAUGAUGUGGCAAACUCUUUUGGCACGAGUGUUGGCUCGGGUGUGUUGACCAUACGGCAGGCCUGUGUUUUGGCGACGAUAUGUGAAAUUUCGGGUGCAGUUUUGAUUGGCUACAAAGUCUCGGACACCAUGCGCAAAGGCAUUCUAGAGGUUGGCCUUUACGAAGGCUCCGAGGAUGAACUUAUGUUGGGCUGUGUCGCUGCUCUGGCUAGUAGCGCCAUCUGGUUGUUGGUUGCCACAUUCCUCAAGUUACCCAUUUCGGGUACACACAGCAUCGUUGGUUCGACCAUUGGUUUUUCGUUGGUUGCGCGUGGUACACAAGGUCUGAAAUGGUCUACAUUGGGCACGAUUGUGGGUUCGUGGUUUAUCUCGCCAGUUAUGAGCGGUUUGGUGAGCAUCUUGCUUUUCUUGGCUAUUCGAAAAUUUAUUUUGCGCGCGAGCGAUCCGCUGAAAGCGGGAUUUCGGUCACUACCAAUUUUCUACGGUGUAACAUUCUUCAUUAACGUCAUUAGUGUGGUGUUGGAUGGACCGAAGUUGCUUUAUAUGGAUAACAUACCCACCUGGAUUGCUAUUUGUUCGAGCAUUGCACUCGGCUUAAUAGUUGCACUUCUCACCCAACUUAUUGUUGUACCAAUACAAAAACGUAAAAUCGCAAAACAAUUACGUGCUCAAAAUCCCGUUAAAUUCAAUUUCGAGGACUCAGUUGAAUCCUCACCGUCCGGUAGCCCUAAGAAAAACCGCCGCCCAUUAUCACUCGUUAGUGAUGGAAAACAAUUGCCUGCAAUUGCCGAAAUCACCGAACUCGUCUCAUUGACCGACAAUUCACCGAAGACCUUCAAAUUGGCACCAUAUGGACUAAAUAAAAAUGGGCAUGUUACCACCCCAAAUAACGGUUAUACUGGCGAUGGUUAUAAGAUUAAUCCGGAAAUUAUAAAGAAAGCUGAGGAUUUGCUGGGCAAAGCCAGUUUGGAUAAUACGGAUUUGACUAUAACGAGCUUAAAUUUCAUUGAUGAGCAAUAUCAGAAUGGUAAUGGUAUAGGUGCAUUUCAGUACGGCAAUAAAAACAACAAUACGACUGCAUUGUUAUCGAAUGGUCGUGACAAAGGUAGUCAGCUGCAGGAUUACUUUGAGAAGGGCGUAAAGUCGCCAUUAUUGGAUGCGAAGAGCAUUGAGCAUUCACACGAGCUUCCACAACAACUCCAACAGCUCGAUAGCACGCAGUCGCCAAAGAGUGCUGCAAAUAAUAAUAUUACACUAACUGCCAUGGACACAACAACAAAUACCACCAAGCCCGCAAUCAUUCCCGCACCUACACCCUGUUCCAACGCAAUACCCGCUGCCGGAGACGCAAACAAAUCAAUUACUGACGUUGUAGUCACAAAAGCCACAACAACAACUGCGGAGUCAACGGCAGCAUCCACAACUGCCAAGAAGGAUUUGAAAGUGGUUGAGAGUGGCAGCAGCUUGGAAAUGAUGAUUUCCUCUACAUUGUCGCCGAAUUCGAGUAAGGUUCCGUUGAUUGAGAGCAAGGAGCUAAUACACGAUUUUAAGCAGUCAGAUGGUGCACCAACGCACAAUGACGAGGAAUCGGAGGAGGUGUCGAUGCUGUUUUCAUUUUUACAAAUUCUAACAGCAACAUUUGGCAGCUUCGCGCAUGGCGGUAAUGAUGUAAGCAACGCUAUUGGACCUCUCAUUGCUUUGUACAUGAUUUACAGAGAAGGUUCUGUGAUGCAGAAGGCCGAAAGUCCUAUUUAUAUUUUGAUCUACGGAGGUAUUGGCAUCUCAGUGGGUCUAUGGCUGUGGGGACGACGGGUCAUCGAGACAAUCGGCAAUGAUUUGACAAAGAUCACCUCAUCAACCGGCUUCACCAUCGAAGUCGGCGCCGCCAUCACAGUACUUCUGGCCAGUAAAAUUGGGUUACCCAUUUCGACGACACAUUGCAAAGUGGGAUCGGUGGUGUUUGUGGGACACGUAAGUGGCAAAGGGCAUAGGCCAGCUGCUAAUGAUGCGACUGCAAAGUCAGGACUCUCCAAAGAAGCUUCAAUGGAAGGUGGUGUCGUAACAUCAUCAACUGCUACAACACCAACAACAAAUGUGAAUGAAAUUUGCAGUAAAAUGGGGGCGACGGUGUCAUCCUCGACCAGCGCGAAUGCUAUAGCCAAUGGCAGCGGUGGUGUGGAAGUGAUCGCCGGUGGUGAUGGAGGUGUUACUGGGGUAGUUGGCACUGCUGCGAACGCUGCUGUUGGUGCUGUCGAUUGGCAUUUGUUUCGAAAUAUUGCCUAUGCUUGGAUUGUCACCGUGCCGGUAACGGCGCUGCUCUCAGCUGGUAUUAUGUUUUUGAUGUGCAGCCUAGUUUUGGCCAAAUAGAAGCGGAGCGUAGCAGUUGGUGGAAAAAUGAAGCGAUUUAUUGCAAAGUAAAAAAAUUACAAAAAAAAGUGAAUUAAAGGAAGAGAAGCGAAAGCAGUUACAAUUAUUAAGUAUUCAACAAACUUACUAACCACACUUAAGACCAAAUUUCAUAGCCAACGAUUACCAAAGAAUCAGUAAAUUACUCUUCCAAAGAUUUUAUAUAAUUACAGAUUGAAAAUUAAAGGAAAAACAUGGUAUGGUGAAUUCAAUGAAAAUGUUAUGAAACAAAUCAUUCGUAGGAAAUAAAACAUUUUCCACACUAAAAGCAAUUAUGUUAUAAGAUCGAAAAAACAUACAGUUACACACACAAAAUCCCAAUUAUUUCUGUUAUUUCGAUACAGUACCGAAAAAAGAACAAAUAUACUUAUUAGUAAAUAAAAUAAAGGAUAUUAAAA